RNAcentral lists this long non-coding RNA (1319 nucleotides) under Olea europaea subsp. europaea. Lineage: Eukaryota; Viridiplantae; Streptophyta; Magnoliopsida; Lamiales; Oleaceae. The record is from RNAcentral.
AACAUCUACAGAGGGAUGAGAAAAAGAGGGCAACCAAUUUUAUAUAUUUUCUACACACUUGAGGCUGCCAUUAUUAUAUAGACACGUACGGAAAUUGAGGGAGAGAAAAUACUAUAUUUUAUACACACUUUUGAGGCUGAGAUUGGAGAAAAACCGAGAAAGGGGGAGAAUUUUUUCCGCUGCCAUUAAAAGGGAUACAAAGAGAUACAUACGCAGGAGACCAUUGGGAGAAAUAAUUUUAAUGGCUGUCUUUAUUAUCUAUACAUAUAGAAAUUGAGGCACGGUGAAGGACGGUUGCUACUCAAUUACAUACAAAAAGGAGGCAGAAUUUAUAUAGGCAUACACGGCAAAAGAUGGUGACACGCGGCAGAUUUACUUUUACAAAUUAUUCACGUUUUGUCAAUUAACCGGGUGAUAAAAUUCAUGAUAAUUUCUUAUUUUUCUUUCAUUAACAUGGUAGCUAAAUUUAAUUUUAGGGCGAAUAAUAUAAUCUAUUUGAGACUUUUAUUUCUAUCAUUUGAGAUUUUUUGUUCUUUUAUAUUUUAUGUGUGGAUUUUAAUUAUGUUCUUAAUGCUUUAAAUUUUUUGUCCAAUUAUUGAAUGAUUAUGUGAAUAAUAAUUACGUAGUGAUGUGAAUUUUUGUUUAGACCACAUAUUAAAAUUCGAUAAAUUUAUGUAAUGUGUAGAGAUACCUACAUUAAUUGCUGCGGCCCUAUAGGAAUUCUUAGAAUUGUUAUUUCGUUUAAAUAAUGUUGAUUCGCACAGAUAUAUGGAAUUGAAUUAUUUAAAUAGAUUUAAUGAGAACUCAAGAGGGGUAAAUUAAAUACUAUAUAAGAAUUCAACCGAACAUGACUUUAGUUUUAUGAAUCUCUAUAUUAGAAGUAAAGGUGAACAAUAGGUGAAUUUGUUCCGCCCUAAUAUCCAUUCAUUAUUUGAAUUCUCAAUUACUCUUGUUGCAUUCGCAUUUUAAGUAGUUAGAUUUAAAAUCACAAUUAAUCAUCGUUUUUUUUUAUCAAAUAGAAGUUAGGAAUAAUAAAUUAAGUAUUAAAGUAUAAUUCUCGUAGGAACAAUAAUUCGGACUCAAAAGGUCAACUUUACUACUUGUUACGAUCCGUACAUUUGCGGAAUAAAAUCAACAACAAUUGUUAUAAAUAUCAUUUCACUUUGCUUCAUUAUAACACUUUUAGAGAGUAUUUAAGUAAAAUAUUCUUGAGCUAAAUUAUUUUAUAAAUUUUAUUUAUUUUUAUCAAUUCAUUCACUUUGAAAUUUUUUUUUUGAUUUAAUUAAACUUUGAAAAUCAUUCUUUUCAUCAAAUGUUUC